GACGAACGCUGGCGGCGUGCUUAACACAUGCAAGUCGAACGGUGAAGCGCCUUCCUUUUUGGUGGGUGUGGAUGAGUGGCGAACGGGUGAGUAACACGUGAGUAACCUGCCCCCUUCUUCUGGAUAACCGCAUGAAAGUGUGGCUAAUACGGGAUAUUCUGGGUCUGUCGCAUGAUGGGUCUGGGAAAGAUAUUGUUUCGGUGGGGGGUGGGCUCGCGGCCUAUCAGCUUGUUGGUGGGGUGAUGGCCUACCAAGGUGGUGACGGGUAGCCGGCCUGAGAGGGUGGACGGUCACACUGGGACUGAGACACGGCCCAGACUCCUACGGGAGGCAGCAGUGGGGAAUAUUGCACAAUGGGCGCAAGCCUGAUGCAGCGACGCCGCGUGAGGGAUGGAGGCCUGCGGGUUGUGAACCUCUUUCGCCAGUGAAGCAGGCCUGCCUCGUUUGUGGGUGGGUUGACGGUAGCUGGAGAAGAAGCGCCGGCUAACUACGUG
RNAcentral lists this ribosomal RNA (494 nucleotides) under uncultured bacterium. RNAcentral's name for it is "partial 16S ribosomal RNA". It matches the Rfam family "Bacterial small subunit ribosomal RNA", at positions 28 to 507 of the family's 1533-position model. The record is from RNAcentral.